GCCGUCAUAGCUCAGUCGGUAGAGCGCCUCACUUGUAAUGAGGAUGUCCGGGGUUCGAAUCCUCGUGGCGGCACCA
RNAcentral lists this transfer RNA (76 nucleotides) under Tranquillimonas alkanivorans. Its description in RNAcentral is "tRNA_Thr_TGT". It matches the Rfam family "tRNA". From Rfam's summary of the family: Transfer RNA (tRNA) molecules are approximately 80 nucleotides in length. Their secondary structure includes four short double-helical elements and three loops (D, anti-codon, and T loops). Lineage: Bacteria; Pseudomonadati; Pseudomonadota; Alphaproteobacteria; Rhodobacterales; Roseobacteraceae. The record is from RNAcentral.